CCCUUAGAUGUUCGGGGCCGCACGCGCGCUACACUGAAGGAAUCAGCACGUCUUUCUCCUUGUCCGAAAGGACUGGGUAACCCGCUGAACCUCCUUCGUGCUAGGGAUUGGGGCUUGUAAUUCUUCCCCAUGAACGAGGAAUUCCCAGUAAGCGCGAGUCAUAAGCUCGCGUUGAUUACGUCCCUGCCCUUUGUACACACCGCCCGUCGCUACUACCGAUUGGAUGGUUUAGUGAGAGCCUCGGAUUGGUCCCGGAGCGGCCUCUGGUCGUGCCGGAGUGCCGAAAAGAAUGUCGAACUUGAUCAUCUAGAGGAAGUAAAAGUCGUAACA
This 330-nucleotide ribosomal RNA is filed under the name uncultured eukaryote. Its description in RNAcentral is "partial 18S ribosomal RNA". It matches the Rfam family "Eukaryotic small subunit ribosomal RNA", at positions 1470 to 1796 of the family's 1831-position model. The record is from RNAcentral.